This is a long non-coding RNA of Oncorhynchus gorbuscha (pink salmon), 795 nucleotides long. RefSeq lists it as uncharacterized. The record is from RefSeq and is a predicted model, not a curated record. The transcript has 3 exons. NCBI's taxonomy places the organism in Eukaryota, Metazoa, Chordata, Actinopteri, Salmoniformes, Salmonidae.
UUCUGAGCAGCAACUUAGAAAAAUAGCUGAAGAGACCACAACGGAUUCCAUUCUUUGCAAGGUGAUUCAUAAUCUGGAAAAUGGCUGGCAAAAAGGCUCAUGUAAGCAGUACUUCCCACUAAGCGCAGAGCUGUCAAUGGUGUGCUGUUGAAGAACAAUAGAAUGGUGAUACCGACUUCAAUGCAACAGGAGAUGUUACAGAGAGUACAUGAAGGACAUCUGGGGGCUGAGAAAUACAGCCCAAGGAGCCCAUGGUUAUGGGAGAGGUACCCGCCUCAUCCUGGGAGAAGGUUGGAGUCGACUUGUUUCACUGCAAUGAGCAGCUCCCUUGGAAUGUGGCCAGUCACCUGCAGAACUCUUAAUGGCCGCAAUAGAGAAAACCUUUUGAGAACGCAGGAGACGUUUGAGGAUGCUCAGGACACCAGCAUACUGCCACUGGGAACACAGAAAAAAAGAAACGAGAACAAGUGGGGAUGUGACUAGGAGUAGGACAGAAGCUUCGGACACAGUGCCUCAGACCCUGCGCAGGUCUGAGAGGGCCAGCAGGCCUCCAGAAAGAUUGAAUAUUCAGUGGUGAUGAUUAAUGAACAAAAGACUGGCUCAUUGAGUUGUUGUGGUUUGUUCUGAUAUGUUCACGAUUGACUAUUUGGAAACAGAGAUGAAUCGAUAUUUGUGAAUUGACAUUGCUUGUUGAUGAAAUGUGUACGUUUUGUAUAAAAACAAUAUAUAUACACUACCGUUCAAAAGUUUGAGGUCUCUUAGAAUUGUCCUUGUUUUUGAAAGAAAAUACAAAUU